RNAcentral lists this ribosomal RNA (253 nucleotides) under uncultured bacterium. RNAcentral describes it as "partial 16S ribosomal RNA". It matches the Rfam family "Bacterial small subunit ribosomal RNA", at positions 524 to 776 of the family's 1533-position model. The record is from RNAcentral.
UACGUAGGGUGCAAGCGUUGUCCGGAAUUACUGGGCGUAAAGAGCUCGUAGGUGGUUUGCCGCGUCGUCUGUAAAAUUCCGGGGCUUAACUCCGGGCGGGCAGGCGAUACGGGGAAACUGGAGUGCUGUAGGGGAGACUGGAAUUCCUGGUGUAGCGGUGGAAUGCGUAGAUAUCAGGAGGAACACCAAUGGCGAAGGCAGGUCUCUGGGCGGUUACUGACGCUGAGGAGCGAAAGCAUGGGUAGCGAACGGG